UUAAGCGACUAAGCGUACACGGUGGAUGCCCUGGCAGUCAGAGGCGAUGAAGGACGUGCUAAUCUGCGAUAAGCGUCGGUAAGGUGAUAUGAACCGUUAUAACCGGCGAUUUCCGAAUGGGGAAACCCAGUGUGAUUCGUCACACUAUCAUUAACUGAAUCCAUAGGUUAAUGAGGCGAACCGGGGGAACUGAAACAUCUAAGUACCCCGAGGAAAAGAAAUCAACCGAGAUUCCCCCAGUAGCGGCGAGCGAACGGGGAGNAGCCCAGAGCCUGAAUCAGUGUGUGUGUUAGUGGAAGCGUCUGGAAAGGCGCGCGAUACAGGGUGACAGCCCCGUACACAAAAAUGCACAUGCUGUGAGCUCGAUGAGUAGGGCGGGACACGUGGUAUCCUGUCUGAAUAUGGGGGGACCAUCCUCCAAGGCUAAAUACUCCUGACUGACCGAUAGUGAACCAGUACCGUGAGGGAAAGGCGAAAAGAACCCCGGCGAGGGGAGUGAAAAAGAACCUGAAACCGUGUACGUACAAGCAGUGGGAGCACGCUUAGGCGUGUGACUGCGUACCUUUUGUAUAAUGGGUCAGCGACUUAUAUUCUGUAGCAAGGUUAACCGAAUAGGGGAGCCGAAGGGAAACCGAGUCUUAACUGGGCGUUAAGUUGCAGGGUAUAGACCCGAAACCCGGUGAUCUAGCCAUGGGCAGGUUGAAGGUUGGGUAACACUAACUGGAGGACCGAACCGACUAAUGUUGAAAAAUUAGCGGAUGACUUGUGGCUGGGGGUGAAAGGCCAAUCAAACCGGGAGAUAGCUGGUUCUCCCCGAAAGCUAUUUAGGUAGCGCCUCGUGAAUUCAUCUCCGGGGGUAGAGCACUGUUUCGGCAAGGGGGUCAUCCCGACUUACCAACCCGAUGCAAACUNNNNNNNNNNNNNNNNNNNNNNNNNNNNNNNNNNNNNNNNNNNNNNNNNNNNNNNNNNNNNNNNNNNNNNNNNNNNNNNNNNNNNNNNNNNNNNNNNNNNNNNNNNNNNNNNNNNNNNNNNNNNGAAGGUGUGCUGUGAGGCAUGCUGGAGGUAUCAGAAGUGCGAAUGCUGACAUAAGUAACGAUAAAGCGGGUGAAAAGCCCGCUCGCCGGAAGACCAAGGGUUCCUGUCCAACGUUAAUCGGGGCAGGGUGAGUCGACCCCUAAGGCGAGGCCGAAAGGCGUAGUCGAUGGGAAACAGGUUAAUAUUCCUGUACUUGGUGUUACUGCGAAGGGGGGACGGAGAAGGCUAUGUUGGCCGGGCGACGGUUGUCCCGGUUUAAGCGUGUAGGCUGGUUUUCCAGGCAAAUCCGGAAAAUCAAGGCUGAGGCGUGAUGACGAGGCACUACGGUGCUGAAGCAACAAAUGCCCUGCUUCCAGGAAAAGCCUCUAAGCAUCAGGUAACAUCAAAUCGUACCCCAAACCGACACAGGUGGUCAGGUAGAGAAUACCAAGGCGCUUGAGAGAACUCGGGUGAAGGAACUAGGCAAAAUGGUGCCGUAACUUCGGGAGAAGGCACGCUGAUAUGUAGGUGAAGUCCCUCGCGGAUGGAGCUGAAAUCAGUCGAAGAUACCAGCUGGCUGCAACUGUUUAUUAAAAACACAGCACUGUGCAAACACGAAAGUGGACGUAUACGGUGUGACGCCUGCCCGGUGCCGGAAGGUUAAUUGAUGGGGUNAGCGCAAGCGAAGCUCUUGAUCGAAGCCCCGGUAAACGGCGGCCGUAACUAUAACGGUCCUAAGGUAGCGAAAUUCCUUGUCGGGUAAGUUCCGACCUGCACGAAUGGCGUAAUGAUGGCCAGGCUGUCUCCACCCGAGACUCAGUGAAAUUGAACUCGCUGUGAAGAUGCAGUGUACCCGCGGCAAGACGGAAAGACCCCGUGAACCUUUACUAUAGCUUGACACUGAACAUUGAGCCUUAAUGUGUAGGAUAGGUGGGAGGCUUUGAAGUGUGGACGCCAGUCUGCAUGGAGCCGACCUUGAAAUACCACCCUUUAAUGUUUGAUGUUCUAACGUUGACCCGUAAUCCGGGUUGCGGACAGUGUCUGGUGGGUAGUUUGACUGGGGCGGUCUCCUCCUAAAGAGUAACGGAGGAGCACGAAGGUUGGCUAAUCCUGGUCGGACAUCAGGAGGUUAGUGCAAUGGCAUAAGCCAGCUUGACUGCGAGCGUGACGGCGCGAGCAGGUGCGAAAGCAGGUCAUAGUGAUCCGGUGGUUCUGAAUGGAAGGGCCAUCGCUCAACGGAUAAAAGGUACUCCGGGGAUAACAGGCUGAUACCGCCCAAGAGUUCAUAUCGACGGCGGUGUUUGGCACCUCGAUGUCGGCUCAUCACAUCCUGGGGCUGAAGUAGGUCCCAAGGGUAUGGCUGUUCGCCAUUUAAAGUGGUACGCGAGCUGGGUUUAGAACGUCGUGAGACAGUUCGGUCCCUAUCUGCCGUGGGCGCUGGAGAAUUGAGGGGGGCUGCUCCUAGUACGAGAGGACCGGAGUGGACGCAUCACUGGUGUUCGGGUUGUCAUGCCAAUGGCACUGCCCGGUAGCUAAAUGCGGAAGAGAUAAGUGCUGAAAGCAUCUAAGCACGAAACUUGCCCCGAGAUGAGUUCUCCCUGACUCCUUGAGAGUCCUGAAGGAACGUUGAAGACGACGACGUUGAUAGGCCGGGUGUGUAAGCGCAGCGAUGCGUUGAGCUAACCGGUACUAAUGAACCGUGAGGCUUAACCUU
Molecule: ribosomal RNA, 2728 nt
Filed under: Escherichia coli
Lineage: Bacteria; Pseudomonadati; Pseudomonadota; Gammaproteobacteria; Enterobacterales; Enterobacteriaceae
Description: 23S ribosomal RNA
Rfam family: Bacterial large subunit ribosomal RNA
Source: RNAcentral